Molecule: ribosomal RNA, 252 nt
Filed under: Pseudomonas putida
Lineage: Bacteria; Pseudomonadati; Pseudomonadota; Gammaproteobacteria; Pseudomonadales; Pseudomonadaceae
Description: partial 23S ribosomal RNA
Rfam family: Bacterial large subunit ribosomal RNA
Source: RNAcentral
GUUAUAUGGUCAAGUGAAGAAGCGCAUACGGUGGAUGCCUUGGCAGUCAGAGGCGAUGAAAGACGUGGUAGCCUGCGAAAAGCUUCGGGGAGUCGGCAAACAGACUUUGAUCCGGAGAUGUCUGAAUGGGGGAACCCAGCCAUCAUAAGAUGGUUAUCUUGUACUGAAUACAUAGGUGCAAGAGGCGAACCAGGGGAACUGAAACAUCUAAGUACCCUGAGGAAAAGAAAUCAACCGAGAUUCCCUUAGUAG